CAACAGGGAUUGCCUUAGUAACUGCGAGUGAAGCGGCAAAAGCUCAAAUUUGAAAUCUGGUACCUUCGGUGCCCGAAUUGUAAUUUGGAGGCAUAUCUUCGGAGCAGGUGCUGUCCUAAGUUCCUUGGAACAGGACGUCACAGAGGGUGAGAAUCCCGUGCCUGGAUGGCCAACCAGCUCCAUGUGAAGUGUGUCCUACGAGUCGAGUUGUUUGGGAAUGCAGCUCAAAAUGGGUGGUAAAUUUCAUCUAAAGCUAAAUAUUGGCGAGAGACCGAUAGCGCACAAGUAGAGUGAUCGAAAGAUGAAAAGCACUUUGAAAAGAGAGUUAAAAAGUACGUGAAAUUGUUGAAAGGGAAGCGCUUGCGACCAGACUCAAUCUUAGGUGAUCAGCUGGGCUUCGGUCCGGUGUCAUUGCCUUUGAUUGGGCCAGCAUCAGUUUUGACGGUGGGAUAAAAGUUGGGGGAAUGUGGCUUCCUUCGGGAAGUGUUAUAGCCUCUUUCAUAAUGCCACCAGUUGGGACUGAGGACCGCGCUUCGGCUAGGAUGCUGGCGUAAUGGUCUUAAGCGACCCGUCUUGAAACACGGACCAAGGAGUCUAACAUCUAUGCGAGUGUUCGGGUGUAAAACCCUUGCGCGUAAUGAAAGUGAACGGAGGUGUGAACCCUUUGGGUGCAACAUCGACCGGUCCUGAUGUCUUCGGAAGGAUCUGAGUAAGAGCAUAGCUGUUGGGACCCGAAAGAUGGUGAACUAUGCCUGAAUAGGGUGAAGCCAGAGGAAACUCUGGUGGAGGCUCGCAGCGGUUCUGACGUGCAAAUCGAUCGUCAAAUUUGGGUAUAGGGGCGAAAGACUAAUCGAACCAUCUAGUAGCUGGUUCCUGCCGAAGUUUCCCUCAGGA
Molecule: ribosomal RNA, 894 nt
Filed under: Pustularia patavina
Lineage: Eukaryota; Fungi; Ascomycota; Pezizomycetes; Pezizales; Pyronemataceae
Description: eukaryotic LSU rRNA
Rfam family: Eukaryotic large subunit ribosomal RNA
Source: RNAcentral